CGGACGUUUUUCCUGGGAAUGGUCUGCUCUGGUGAUUUCCUGGAGUAUGAAUCGGCUCUGUCCCUAUCCCUCUGACUUGUUUAUGUUUUUAAACCGAAUGGUGUUUUACAUUAAAAUGCGCCCUUAAUAAAGAUACUUAUUUCGAGUCGAAAUUAGGUCUAAUGGCAUCAACUCUCCCUUUAUCAAUUUUCCGAAGGCGGAUACUUCAAAAUACGUCCCUACAAACUUAUUGUGUUACAAAAAACAUUUUGCCUGCAUUUCAAUGCUUGAAAAUCUCUAGAGCAAAUAGAUAUCACAGGGGUACUGUAUGCAAUAAUGUUAAACAAAAAUAUCUUCCCUAUUUACAUGAUUCAAAGCUUUUGAACCCUUCACUUACACCAAACUGGAAAACUGGAAUCCAAUUGCAGUCCCAUGGAAGUUCAUCCCAUUCACAUGAAUUCAUCGGUAACAAUGUUGGGCCUGUUUCAGGUCCACAGCUUGUGAAAUACUUGUUCAGAUACAUUUGGCCUAAAGAUAAUUGGGAAAUUAAACGCAGAGUUGUGUUUGCGUCAGGAUUGUUGGUUUCUGCUAAAUUACUAAAUGUUGGUGUUCCGUUCCUAUUUAAACAUGCUGUGGAUCUGCUCAAUACACACCUGGACUCCCCCUUGCACAUGGGUGACCCUCAAGCAACUAUCACAACAGCUGUAUUCACCGUUCUAGCUGCCUAUGGUAUUGCUCGUAUCGGGGCCUCGGGUAUGAACGAACUUCGCAACGCAGUGUUUGCAAAAGUAUCACAACAUUCAGUACGACAAAUAGCCAAAAAUGUCUUCAUGCACCUUCACAAUUUAGACCUGAACUUUCAUUUAAAUCGCCAAACAGGCGCCCUUUCGAAGGCUAUCGAUCGCGGCAGCCGAGGCAUAAAUUUUCUUCUAGCUGCCUUACUUUUCAAUGUCGUGCCCACAAUCUUUGAGGUGUCACUCGUAAGCACUAUUUUGGGAAUGCGAUGCGGUUGGGAAUUUGCCACUAUCACGCUUAGUUGCAUUGGUCUAUAUACUGGAUAUACUUUGGCAGUCACCCAAUGGCGAACCCGUUUCAGAAUUGCCAUGAAUCAAGCAGAGAAUGAAGCAGGAAACAAGGCUAUUGACUCACUGAUCAACUAUGAAACUGUGAAGUAUUUUAACAACGAAAAAUUUGAAGCCGAAGAAUAUGACAAGUCACUAAAAAAAUACGAAACUGCCUCUCUGAAGACAAAUUCAAGCCUUGCUCUGUUAAAUUUUGGACAGCAAACUAUUUUCAGUGUUGCGCUGACCGCAGUGAUGCUGCUUUCAGCGAAGCAAAUUGUCAAUGGGCAAAUGACAGUUGGAGAUCUUGUUAUGGUGAAUGGUCUUCUUUUCCAACUAUCUUUACCGUUGAAUUUUCUUGGUUCCGUGUACCGGGAAGUACGUCAAGCAGUAAUUGACAUGCAGGUUCUUUUUGCACUUCAAAACGUUAAAUCUUCGAUUCCUGUCACGACCGCAUUACCUUCAUUGAAACUGGAAACUUUUAAAGAAGCCACGAUCGAAUUCCAAGACGUGCAUUUUCACUAUGGCGGGAACAAAGAAAUUUUUAGUGGUUUAAACUUCACAGUUCCAGCUGGGAAAACGGUUGCCUUGGUUGGGGGCUCAGGUUCCGGGAAAUCGACGCUUAUAAGGCUUCUUUAUCGUUUGUUUGAUCCCCAACAAGGAAAGAUAUUGAUUGGAGGACAAGAUAUCAGUGCUGUUAAUGUUGACAGUCUUCGUCAGUCAAUUGCUAUUGUUCCACAGGAACCUGUACUGUUCAACAACUCCAUAUAUUAUAACUUGCAUUACGGCAACUUUGAAAAAAAUGAAAAAGAGGUUCAUCAAGCGGCAAAAAUGGCUGGAAUUCAUGAUUCAAUCAUGUCUUGGCCCAUGCAGUACAACACAUCGGUUGGGGAACGAGGGCUAAAACUGUCUGGUGGAGAGAAGCAGCGAGUUGCAAUCGCUAGAGCAAUAUUGAAAACCUCGCCAAUCCUGAUAUUCGAUGAAGCCACAUCGUCUUUAGACUCCGUAACCGAAAGUAACAUCAUGGAAGCAUUGAAGAGAGCGACAACCAAUAGAACUUCUAUCUGCAUUGCUCAUCGAUUGACCACUGUGAUUGAUGCAGAUGAAAUCUUUGUGCUCCAAGGCGGACGUAUAGUGGAGAGAGGGACACAUCCCGAAUUGCUUGCAACCGCCAAUAGUGUAUAUGCCAAACUAUGGAAUACCCAAUUCAGAACCCAUGGCUAAGCCAAACCUGAAUUGUUGUGACCAGUCAACAAAUGGCUGAUAGAAAGCUGGGAGUUAAAAAAGCUUUGUUUUUUUAUGUAACUGUAUAGGGAUUCAAGAAUUAUGAGAAGAUUAGUCAUAAUUAAAAAUGGGUAAACUAUUCAGUGGGAAAUUAAAUUUCUGGAUAGAAUGUAACCAGCAUUGUCAGCAAUCAAACACUAUGCCGAUGGUAAAAAAAUAUAAAGCUUGUUCAAUAGGUAACAACAUAUCGUUUGGGCGUGCAAAUAUGCCCCAUUUAAUAUCGAUCUAGAUUUGAUUCGUGAGUCAUGAUGAUAGCCAAAAAUAGCCACGA
Molecule: RNA transcript, 2595 nt
Organism: Daphnia magna
Lineage: Eukaryota; Metazoa; Arthropoda; Branchiopoda; Diplostraca; Daphniidae
Gene: ABCB7
Gene name: iron-sulfur clusters transporter ABCB7, mitochondrial
Exons: 16
Source: RefSeq, a predicted model, not a curated record